Molecule: ribosomal RNA, 525 nt
Filed under: Oxynoemacheilus insignis
Lineage: Eukaryota; Metazoa; Chordata; Actinopteri; Cypriniformes; Nemacheilidae
Description: partial small subunit ribosomal RNA
Rfam family: Bacterial small subunit ribosomal RNA
Source: RNAcentral
ACUAUCAGUUCUGACAUAAAUUACACAUGCAAGUAUCCGCAGCCCUGUGAGGAUGCCCUUAAUCCCCCGCCCGGGGACGAGGAGCAGGCAUCAGGCACAGUAUUUCUGGCCCAAGACGCCUUGCCGCGCCACACCCCCAAGGGAAUUCAGCAGUGAUAGACAUUAAGCCAUAAGCGUAAGCUUGACUUAGUUAAUGUUAAGAGGGCCGGUAAAACUCGUGCCAGCCACCGCGGUUAUACGAGAGGCCCUAAUUGAUAGGCACGGCGUAAAGGGUGGUUAAGGAGAAUAAAUUUUUAAAGCCGAAGGGCCUCUUGGCCGUCAUACGCUCCUGAGCGUCCGAAGUCCGAAAACGAAAGUAGCUUUAAAGUAGCCCACCUGAACCCACGAAAGCUGAAAAACAAACUGGGAUUAGAUACCCCACUAUGCUCAGCCGUAAACCCAGACGUUGCCACACAACAGACGUCCGCCAGGGUACUACAAGCGUUAGCUUAAAACCCAAAGGACUUGGCGGUGCCUCAGACCCCC